Molecule: long non-coding RNA, 3211 nt
Organism: Mus musculus (house mouse)
Lineage: Eukaryota; Metazoa; Chordata; Mammalia; Rodentia; Muridae
Product: predicted gene, 30144
Exons: 4
Source: RefSeq, a predicted model, not a curated record
GGCUUCAGCUUUCCCACUGUGAAAGCGUAGCUGGUGGAAAAGUUCCCACAAUGCCACAGGGGAGGUGUGGCCCAAUAAAGCUUCAUAAGGGGGUGUGGGGUCACUGCUAUCAUGUGGAUAUGAUGCAGCUGGGAGUUAUGAUCUCACAGGGGCGGUGCCCUUGCCUCUGCUUGGUUGGCAUGCAGAACUUGGCUUAGUUACUGUACGGCUGGGUGAAGCAUAAUCUACCAUCUGGGACAUGUCAUAAAGCAAGUUCCCAACCUAAGAGCUGCCACAUAUUAAGUGCCCAGGAGCUGAUUGAUAAUAUCCUGGUUAUUCUCUGAAUAUCUAAGGCAUGGUAGACUCUGCUGCUGACUGCUUCUGGUUCCGGUCCACCUUAGUCUCACCCCUACCAGCACAUACAGGAGACCCAGGACUCUAGAGGACAAGCUCUACUUUGGAGUCAGCCUGCUGUGGAUCCUGUUCUGCUGUGUUCACCUGAUGGUAAUGGGUCAUCCUCUGGACACCAUCUGAACACUAAGAACAGCUACGCUGUCCUCUCCUAUGGGCUGUGGAGCAUUGGAAGUAGGGAGCCUAGAACUAAGCAGCCAUCAGAUAGGACCCUUGAGUUUCCAGCUCAGGCCCAGUCUUUUCCUACUGGGAUUGCAGCUAAGUAGGACACCUGUGUCCUGAAUAACAUAGCUUAGCUCCACCCCCUCUAUCUUCUUGUUUAUGCUCUGAAAGCCACCAACAAGACCCAAGGAAAGGUGCACUCCUGAGCCACUUUAGCGUUUUAAUAGGAUCCAGCUCUUCAGAGGGGGCCUAUGAAGGAUUGCCUUGAUACCCAGAAGGCAAGUGUUUCUUUCCCGGCUUUGGCUCAGUGUGCUUACUUUAGAGGAUCAGCUUCCAGGAGCACCCUGAGACAUCCUACCCCACAGCAGUAUUGUUCUGAAGGUCAUGUGGGGUGGAGCUGGGGCUCAGCUGAAGUUAACCAUCUUUGUUUUUUAGUUUUGGGAAAUAUAAGAGCUCCCUGUCUAUCUGCUGUCUUCAUGUGUGACAACAACUGCUCUGUCAUAGCCAUUUGUUAUUACCAACCACACCUGACUGGCAGAACCUUUGUCCAGCUGGGGAGGGGUGAUUUAGAAAGCCAAGCAGCUUUUCCCAGGUCCUGACCCACCCAGCUGAGGGAUGAGGAAGAGUGUCUCUGCUCACAAGCCAGUGGUGGCAUCUGUCAAUUAUGUCACGCAACAAAGAAACCUUAAAAGCAAUGUCCCUAUUGGCCUCUGGAAGAUGGGGAAAGAGGUACCUGAGAAUGUUGGGUAUCUGCUAUCCCGAGUGAGGGAGGCAGGUUUCACAAUAUGAUCAGCUGCUCUCUGCUGUGGAAGUGGUGAGCCCAGAAUUGUCCUCCACAUUUUCUGCCUGUAUGACUCCCCCUUUUUCUGUCCCCAGGAAGCCCUGUUAGUUUCCUAUGAAUGGAGAGGUAUAGAACAGCAAAGGCAAUGGGGAGUGAGGGCUCGUCAGACCGCUGGUCUCCCACCCUGCUCCACCUGUGAAGACGGCAACUUUCCUCUCUCCUCAGCAAGCAGGAUGAUGGAGGGGGCUGAGCAGGUGAACUUGUGUGUGUGGUAACGUAUUGACUAGAUUUAUGUCAACUUGACACAAACCGUAGUCAUCUGAGAGAAGGGAACCCUAACUAAGAAAAUGCCUCUGUAAGACUUGGCUGUGGCCAGCCUGUUGACCAUUUUCUUAAUUACUGAUUGAUGGGAAGGACCCAGCUCAACAUGGGUGGGGCCAACCCUGGGAUGGAAGUCCUGGAUUCUACAAGAAAGCAGGCUGUGAAAGCUAUGAAGAGCAAACCAGUCAGCAGCACCCUCCAUGGCCUCUGCAUCAGCUCCUGCCUCCAGGUUCCUGCCCUGCUUGAGUUCCCCUCUCACUGCUUUUGAUGGAUUGUUACAUGGAGCUGUGAGUGAAGAACCCUUCUCUCCCCAAGUUCUUUUGGUCAUAGUGUUUCAUCAAAGCAAUGGUAGCCUCAACUUAAAACCGAUUAUAAUCCCAAGGCAGAGAGAGAAUCUAGGCAGGCUAGUGAUGCUCAGGCCAGAGGGUCUAGAGAGUCAGGUGGUUGGGGAGUCAGCUUCUGAGGUUGUGGGAAAGGGCCCUGUUGGCUUUGAGUCUCCUUUACUGUCCUGGAGGCAAGAUUGAGAAAUGUUCACAGUCAACAUCAUCACCAUCAUCAUGUUGUCCUCUCUGGUGCCUGUCUACCGUGAGUGCAGCCCUGCUCAGAUUGGACCACUUGGCAUUUAAGUGAAGGCUGGAAGCAUUGCUCCUUCUUCUUCAUUCUGGACAUAAACUUCUUAACGCUGAGGAAAAUUAUAUUGUCUAAAAUUCCAAAAUUUUUGUUUUUUAAUGUUUAAUCAGUUUUAAAACAGCCAUCAUUCAACUGUCUGCCAAGAACAAGUGUGAAGCCUGGCAGUAGAUGUGAAUAAGUGUGAAGCCUGGCAGCAGGUGUGAACAGGUGUAAAGCCUGGCAGCAGGUGUGAACAGGUGUGAAGCCUGGCAGCAGGUGUGAACAAGUGUAAAGCCUGGCAGCAGGUGUGAACAGGUGUGAAGCCUGGCAGCAGGUGUGAACAAGUGUGAACCUCAGCAGCAGGUGUGAAUAAAUGUAAAGCCUGGCAGCAGGUGUGAAGUCUGGCAGCAGGUGUGAGCAAGUGUGAACCUCAGCAGCAGGUGUGAACAAAUAUGAAGCCUGGCAGCAGGUGUGAACAGGCAUGAAGUCUGGCAGCAGGUGCGAACAAGUGUGAACCUUGGCUGUCUGCAUUUAUCUAUGUCCUGUAAGCCCGUAACAAUAAAGUUUAGCUUCUGGCUCAGCCCCGCCUGGCUGCUGGGCUGGAAGUCGCUGACAAUGAUGCCGAGCUGCUGAAUGUUCUCCAUGAACUUCUCCAGGUGUUCCUCCAGAUGGUCAAACUUCUCCACCAUCGCCGGCUCCGCCCGCCUCUUAGCCUCAGCUCCCAGAGACUCCGGGUCCACAGUGCUCGCCCGCUUCCGCUUCCAGCUUCCGGAAGCCCACAUCCGUUUCCUCGGGGGCGGGGCCUCCUCAGGAGCGGGGCCGGACGAGGCUGCUGUCUAGCUAUUCCAAUGGUGGAUGGCAGUGAACAGAAAGUCCAAGGUAUGUGUGGGGGACAAAGAGGAGGGCAGGAUCCCUUCAGUCUUAAGAAGACAUGACCCCCACCAUGGC